This 497-nucleotide ribosomal RNA is filed under the name uncultured bacterium. RNAcentral describes it as "partial 16S ribosomal RNA". It matches the Rfam family "Bacterial small subunit ribosomal RNA", at positions 28 to 507 of the family's 1533-position model. The record is from RNAcentral.
GAUGAACGCUGGCGGCGUGCCUAAUACAUGCAAGUCGAGCGAACAGACGAGGAGCUUGCUCCUCUGACGUUAGCGGCGGACGGGUGAGUAACACGUGGAUAACCUACCUAUAAGACUGGGAUAACUUCGGGAAACCGGAGCUAAUACCGGAUAAUAUAUUGAGCCGCAUGGUUCAAUGGUGAAAGACGGUUUUGCUGUCACUUAUAGAUGGAUCCGCGCCGCAUUAGCUAGUUGGUAAGGUAACGGCUUACCAAGGCAACGAUGCGUAGCCGACCUGAGAGGGUGAUCGGCCACACUGGAACUGAGACACGGUCCAGACUCCUACGGGAGGCAGCAGUAGGGAAUCUUCCGCAAUGGGCGAAAGCCUGACGGAGCAACGCCGCGUGAGUGAUGAAGGUCUUCGGAUCGUAAAACUCUGUUAUUAGGGAAGAACAAAUGUGUAAGUAACUAUGCACGUCUUGACGGUACCUAAUCAGAAAGCCACGGCUAACUACGUG